RNAcentral lists this ribosomal RNA (254 nucleotides) under uncultured bacterium. RNAcentral's name for it is "partial 16S ribosomal RNA". It matches the Rfam family "Bacterial small subunit ribosomal RNA", at positions 524 to 776 of the family's 1533-position model. The record is from RNAcentral.
UACGUAGGGUGCGAGCGUUGUCCGGAAUUAUUGGGCGUAAAGAGCUCGUAGGCGGUUUGUCGCGUCGACUGUGAAAACCUACAGCUUAACUGUGGGCUUGCGGUCGAUACGGGCAUCACUGGAGUUCGGCAGGGGAGACUGGAAUUCCUGGUGUAGCGGUGAAAUGCGCAGAUAUCAGGAGGAACACCGGUGGCGAAGGCGGGUCUCUGGGCCGAUACUGACGCUGAGGAGCGAAAGCGUGGGGAGCAAACAGG